Drosophila serrata is the source of this 281-nucleotide long non-coding RNA. RefSeq lists it as uncharacterized. The record is from RefSeq and is a predicted model, not a curated record. NCBI's taxonomy places the organism in Eukaryota, Metazoa, Arthropoda, Insecta, Diptera, Drosophilidae.
AAGCGAAGCUGGCUACCACAACGAUGACGUCAAGGAUUGCAGCACACAGGCCAAGUCCUAUGCACAUUUCACUGACAUCCUCCUGAGACUGCUGAUGCUGCUGCUGGUGCUGGUGCAUUCGACGAAAAUAGUUUUCCCCGUUUUUAAUGAGCUGACAAGAGAUGGCAAGCUUUACCAAAUAAUACAAAAUGGCCGACUUGUACUUUGCAUAAUUUGGAUUUGCAUUUCCAUAGAGAGCAUUCGAGCUAACUAUUUCACAGACACUCAGUGACAGAGGCCCA